Molecule: transfer RNA, 73 nt
Filed under: Usnea subgracilis
Lineage: Eukaryota; Fungi; Ascomycota; Lecanoromycetes; Lecanorales; Parmeliaceae
Description: tRNA-Met
Rfam family: tRNA
About the family: Transfer RNA (tRNA) molecules are approximately 80 nucleotides in length. Their secondary structure includes four short double-helical elements and three loops (D, anti-codon, and T loops).
Source: RNAcentral
GCCAGGAUAGUUCAAAGGUUAGAACGUGAAUCUCAUAUAUUCGAGAUGUGGAGUUCAAUUCUCCCUCCCGGCU